Molecule: ribosomal RNA, 447 nt
Filed under: uncultured bacterium
Lineage: Bacteria
Description: partial 16S ribosomal RNA
Rfam family: Bacterial small subunit ribosomal RNA
Source: RNAcentral
AGCGAACGCUGGCGGCAGGCUUAACACAUGCAAGUCGAACGCCCCGCAAGGGGAGUGGCAGACGGGUGAGUAACACGUGGGAACGUACCCUUUGGUUCGGAAUAACUUGGGGAAACUCAAGCUAAUACCGGAUAAGCCCUUAUGGGGAAAGGUUUACUGCCGAAGGAUCGGCCCGCGUCUGAUUAGCUAGUUGGUGAGGUAAUGGCUCACCAAGGCGACGAUCAGUAGCUGGUCUGAGAGGAUGAUCAGGCACACUGGGACUGAGACACGGCCCAGACUCCUACGGGAGGCAGCAGUGGGGAAUAUUGGACAAGGGGGGCAACCCUGAUCCAGCCAUACCGCGUGAGUGAUGAAGGCCUUAGGGUUGUAAAGCUCUUUUACCCGGGACGAUAAUGACUGUACCGGGAGAAUAAGCCCCGGCUAACUUCGUGCCAGCAGCCGCCGUAA